ACCUACCUCAGCGCGCUCCUCACCUCAGCGCGCUCCGUACCUACCUCAGCGCGCUCCCCUCCCCAGCCCGCUCCCUACCUCAGCCCACUCGGGCGCGCUGCCCCGGGAGGGUUAACUCCGACCCUGCCUCACCGCAGCUUUCCGUCUCCACCCACAGCACCCGGAGAACUCACGUGACCCCCUUCCCGAAAACAGCGGCUCCCGCCCGCCUCCGCGCGGGCCGCCGGCCCAGAUUCCCUGCCAGGAGGAGGGAGGGGCUGGGCCGCCGCCGCUCCCGGAAGUGACGUCACGUCGAGGGCGCCCGCCUCAGGGGCGUGAGUCGUGGUCUCAGGGGUCCUCGGCGCCUGGGUCGAACGUAGUUUGUGUUGUCUAUGAGCAAGGAAGACAGAGUCCUGACUGCCGUUACCUGUUCUUGCAACCGCAAGGGAGUCACUUUGGGAUGGAGCAGUGUGGGGAUGGCAGAGUAGUGAAGCAGGGUAAGCACCCUGAUGACGUCAUGGCACCGUUGAAUUCACUGUUCCUGGAGUCCACACUGCUUCUGGUGUUGAGGUGGUCUGAGAUAAUAAAUUUCCUUAUUGAUUAAGCAAGAUUAAUUAGGAUUAAUUAAGCAAGGUUCAUUGUGUCUGCUGAGUGAUGAGAAGUGUUUGCCUGUUGUUAACAGUCCAGUUGGAAAAAAUGGUAAAGCUAACCCUCACCCCCAGGUUUUUAUUUUCUAGAAGUGAACAAAAAAGGGAGGAACAUUCCACUUGGGCUUAGUCCUUGAAGAUGGUUGAAUUUCUACUUGAAUGUUCCAUCAUCACUUUAAGACCAGUAUCUCCCUCCUCUCUGCUUUCGUUGGUGACAGUAUUUUUACCAGCCAGAUAACUUGAAGCAAAAACUUAAGAAUUAUCCCAGAUUUUCAUUUCUCCAUUCCUUCCACCCUGUCAGAAGUAGUCUGUUGGUUGUUUCUAAAAAUAUCCUUCAAAACUGUUUUCUCUUCACUUAUCACUACAAAUACCUUCCUCUGGGCAUCCGUAUAUAUUGGCCUGGACUGAGACAACUGACUCCACACUGGUAUGUUUGACACCAGACUUUCAUUCUCGUCUUUCGCUACUAGAGUUAGAAUUUUGGAACACAGCUCUAUAUGCAUCCUACCUCACCUGUUCAGAUUCUUUCAUUAUCACUCAUUGUUUAAGAAAUGAAAUGCAAAACUCUUUUGCUUGACAACUGGCACCGAACAAAGACUUUGUGGUCUGGCUGCUGCCUGCCUCCCUAGCCUCCUCCUUCCUGACUUUCUCUCUCUCUCUUUAGCCCAUGUAUUGGAUGCCGCGCUUGUCGCAGAUGUGAGAUGUCUCCCCUCUUUGGUCUGGCUGCUGCUUCUCUCUCUUUGAAAGAUCCUGUUCAUAAAGCUCACGUUUUAGGUCCUUCGUGAGUUUUUCCGUAAGUUGCCCACGCUUGGUUGGCAUUUCCUCCUCCGUGCUUCUGUGUGUCCCUUGUGUAAAUUUCGGCCUUGAUCACACGGUACUGAAAUUGUCUUCAUAUUUGUCUCCCACUUCGUUCAGUCAGCCCACAUUUCCAGAGCACUUUGUGUGUGUGAAGCACAGUGCUGAGUGCUAGCUCUUUACAAAUAAACACUUAGUAUUUACCAGCUUGGUUGAGCAGUUAAAUAGAGAUAGGCACUUGAAUAAGUAAAUAUGAGUGUGUUCUGGAUGGCAGGAUGGGUCUCUCAGCAGGGUACCUGGUCAGCGUUAAGGUUGAAAGUGGUUCUGCUGCCUGGAGUUGGGGCUUAUGUGCUGGGUCAUCGAUAGUGACCGUCAAGUGACAUGUGCUGCCCCAGUUACUCUUCUUCACCAA
Molecule: long non-coding RNA, 1833 nt
Filed under: Capra hircus (goat)
Lineage: Eukaryota; Metazoa; Chordata; Mammalia; Artiodactyla; Bovidae
Description: lncRNA (ENSCHIG00010019446.1)
Source: RNAcentral